GGAGAAGUCGCGUAGUCCGGUCGAGCGCGCACGAUUGGAAAUCGUGUAGGCCCCAAAAGGGUCUCGAGGGUUCGAAUCCCUCCUUCUCCGCCA
Molecule: transfer RNA, 93 nt
Filed under: Lachnospiraceae bacterium
Lineage: Bacteria; Bacillati; Bacillota; Clostridia; Lachnospirales; Lachnospiraceae
Description: tRNA-Ser
Rfam family: tRNA
About the family: Transfer RNA (tRNA) molecules are approximately 80 nucleotides in length. Their secondary structure includes four short double-helical elements and three loops (D, anti-codon, and T loops).
Source: RNAcentral